Molecule: RNA transcript, 925 nt
Organism: Sinocyclocheilus grahami
Lineage: Eukaryota; Metazoa; Chordata; Actinopteri; Cypriniformes; Cyprinidae
Gene name: cold-inducible RNA-binding protein-like
Exons: 9
Source: RefSeq, a predicted model, not a curated record
CUUUGUGUUCUAGAAAAACAGGUGAUUCAACAUGUCUGACGAGGGAAAGCUCUUCAUCGGUGGUCUGAGCUAUGAUACCACAGAGCAGUCCUUGGAGGAGGCAUUCUCCAAAUAUGGAUCAAUUGCCAAAGUUGAUGUCAUCAGGGACCGUGAGACCGACCGCUCCAGAGGCUUUGGCUUUGUUACGUUUGAGAAUCCAGAGGAUGCCAAGGAUGCCAUGGCUGCAAUGAAUGGAAAGUCUGUUGAUGGCCGCAUGAUUCGUGUUGAUGAAGCUGGCAAAUCUGGUAGACGGUCCGGUGGAUUCAGAGGCGGUUCUGGAGGUGGCAGGGGGUUCUUCAGGGGUGGUAGAGGUGGAGGAGGAUACGGUGGUGACAGGAGUUUUGGUGGCGAUAGGGGCUAUGGCGGAGGUGACCGAUCCUACGGUGGUGGCGAUAGAGGCUAUGGCGGAGGAGAGAGAAGCUAUGGUGGAGGUGACCGAUCCUACAGCGGGGGUGGUGGUGGUGGUGGUGGAUAUUCCAACAGGAGUGGUGGGUACUCCGGUGGCAGCGGCGGUGGAUACAGGGAUAAUAGGAGUCAGGGGGGAUAUGACCGUUCUGGCGGAUCCUACAGAGACAGCUAUGACAGCUACGACUGACACUGGACUUGUUGCAUUUGAAAAUUUAGAGGAGCAAGCUGACCUUUGAUGAAAUGAAUUCUUUCAUGGCAAAGAUUAGAGAGCUCAUGGAAAUCCCUGCUCUGCAGAUGAGCCCAUCUCUCCCAAAAGAAAGCAGAACGUGUCAACACUUGCAGAAGAUGAAAAAUCAAUCUUGCAACUCUAAAGUUUGCUGUAUUUUGCUGAAAGCAGUGAUUCGGUAGAAAGGUGAUCCCUUUAAAGCCUUGAGAAUGACCAAUCCAUUCAAUAAAGUUUGUUUUACACCCGUUUUAA